AAAAUUUAGUUAAUUCAUAACAUUAAUUUGUCAAAUUAAAAUAAUUUUUUAAAUAAUUUUCC
This 62-nucleotide transfer RNA is filed under the name Macrohaltica subplicata. RNAcentral describes it as "tRNA-Asp". Lineage: Eukaryota; Metazoa; Arthropoda; Insecta; Coleoptera; Chrysomelidae. The record is from RNAcentral.